This 240-nucleotide unclassified non-coding RNA is filed under the name soil metagenome. Its description in RNAcentral is "partial contains 5.8S ribosomal RNA, internal transcribed spacer 2, and large subunit ribosomal RNA". The record is from RNAcentral.
AACCAUAGAAACCUGCGGAGUACCUGCGGAGGGAUCAUUAUAGUAUAUGGAAUCUCCAUUCUAUAAACCCACUCUGCGUAUCUUGUAACUGUUGCUUCCAUGGGACUUGGUUCCGCCACACCGGCUUCACGGCUGGUGAGCGCCCAUGGAAGGAGAAACAAAACUCUUCUUUGAGAUGUAGUCAGUCUGAACAAGUUUUUAUAAACGUUAAAACUUUUAACAAUGGAUCUCAGAUCGGAA